GAGUUUGAUCCUGGCUCAGGAUGAACGCUAGCGGCAGGCUUAACACAUGCAAGUCGAGGGGCAGCAGGGAGCUUGCUCCGCUGACGACCGGCGAACGGGUGCGUAACGCGUAUAGAAUCUACCUCUUACUAAGGGAUAGCCCAGAGAAAUUUGGAUUAAUAUCUUAUAGUAUACAGACCUGGCAUCAGGAUUGUAUUAAAGGUUACGGUAAGAGAUGACUAUGCGUCCUAUUAGCUAGAUGGUGUGGUAACGGCACACCAUGGCUACGAUAGGUAGGGGCCCUGAGAGGGGGAUCCCCCACACUGGUACUGAGACACGGACCAGACUCCUACGGGAGGCAGCAGUGAGGAAUAUUGGACAAUGGAGGCAACUCUGAUCCAGCCAUGCCGCGUGCAGGAAGACUGCCCUAUGGGUUGUAAACUGCUUUUAUACAGGAAGAAACACUCUCACGUGUGAGAGCUUGACGGUACUGUAAGAAUAAGGAUCGGCUAACUCCGUGCCAGCAGCCGCGGUAAUACGGAGGAUCCAAGCGUUAUCCGGAAUCAUUGGGUUUAAAGGGUCCGUAGGUGGAUGAUUAAGUCAGAGGUGAAAUCCUGCAGCUCAACUGUAGAAUUGCCUUUGAUACUGGUUGUCUUGAGUUAUUAUGAAGUAGUUAGAAUAUGUAGUGUAGCGGUGAAAUGCAUAGAUAUUACAUAGAAUACCAAUUGCGAAGGCAGAUUACUAAUAAUAUACUGACACUGAUGGACGAAAGCGUGGGGAGCGAACAGGAUUAGAUACCCUGGUAGUCCACGCCGUAAACGAUGGUCACUAGCUGUUCGGACUUCGGUUUGAGUGGCUAAGCGAAAGUGAUAAGUGACCCACCUGGGGGAGUACGUUCGCAAGAAUGAAACUCAAAGGAAUUGACGGGGGCCUGCACAAGCGGUGGAGCAUGGUGGUUUAAUUCGAUGAUACGCGAGGAACUUACCAGGCUUAAAUGUAGAUUGACAGUUUAGAAAAUAGACUUUCUUCGGAACAUUUACAAGUGCUGCAUAGGUGUCGUCAGCUCGUGCGUGGAGGUCAGUAAGUCCUUACCGAGCGCAACCCUGUUGUAGUGGCAGCCAGUCAUGUCGGUAACCUUACAGACUGCAUGCAAACGUCAGAGGUGGUAAUAACGUCCAAUACACUACCGUGC
This 1171-nucleotide ribosomal RNA is filed under the name uncultured marine bacterium. RNAcentral describes it as "bacterial SSU rRNA". It matches the Rfam family "Bacterial small subunit ribosomal RNA", at positions 9 to 1200 of the family's 1533-position model. The record is from RNAcentral.